This 633-nucleotide ribosomal RNA is filed under the name uncultured beta proteobacterium. Its description in RNAcentral is "bacterial SSU rRNA". It matches the Rfam family "Bacterial small subunit ribosomal RNA", at positions 46 to 674 of the family's 1533-position model. Lineage: Bacteria; Pseudomonadati; Pseudomonadota; Betaproteobacteria. The record is from RNAcentral.
GCUCAACACAUGCAAGUUCGAACGGUAACAGGUCUUCGGUAGCUGACGAGUGGCGAACGGGUGAGUAAUACAUCGGAACGUGCCCGAUCGUGGGGGAUAACGGAGCGAAAGCUUUGCUAAUACCGCAUACGAUCUACGGAUGAAAGCAGGGGACCGCAAGGCCUUGCGCGGACGGAGCGGCCGAUGGCAGAUUAGGUAGUUGGUGGGAUAAAAGCUUACCAAGCCGACGGUCUGUAGCUGGUCUGAGAGGACGACCAGCCACACUGGGACUGAGACACGGCCCAGACUCCUACGGGAGGCAGCAGUGGGGAAUUUUGGACAAUGGGCGAAAGCCUGAUCCAGCCAUGCCGCGUGCAGGAUGAAGGCCUUCGGGUUGUAAACUGCUUUUGUACGGAACGAAAAGACUCUUUCUAAUAAAGAGGGUCCAUGACGGUACCGUAAGAAUAAGCACCGGCUAACUACGUGCCAGCAGCCGCGGUAAUACGUAGGGUGCAAGCGUUAAUCGGAAUUACUGGGCGUAAAGCGUGCGCAGGCGGUUUUGUAAGACUGUCGUGAAAUCCCCGGGCUCAACCUGGGAAUGGCGAUGGUGACUGCAAGGCUAGAGUUUGGCAGACGGGGGUGAGAAUUCCUCGU